RNAcentral lists this long non-coding RNA (939 nucleotides) under Homo sapiens (human). RNAcentral's name for it is "HSALNT0342328". The record is from RNAcentral. Lineage: Eukaryota; Metazoa; Chordata; Mammalia; Primates; Hominidae.
CUCUCUGCUCUUCCCCAGCCUGCGCUGCUCCAGCUCCACGUGCGCCCGGGGAUGCAAUGCAGCCCUGCAGACAAGCGUCUCCGGCAGGACGUGGGCCGCGGGUCUCGGAGCCUCCUUCACUUAGGUACAAACAAUCGUCGCCGCAGGGGCCGGACCCCAGUCCGAGCUCCGAGAUCCCAUGAACAGCAGUACCACCUGCCAACGCGUCCUCAUAUGUAAAAUGGGCAUAAACUCGAACCUCCCUCCUAAGGCUGAAUCCUCCGGAAUCCGCCCCACUGCACGCCAGCAGUCGGAGGCCUGGGGCGUGCUGCCCACGUGACUGACGGCCGGGAAGGAAAGAUGGCGGCGACUAUGAUGGCUUCAGAGAGAGGGCAACCAACGAGAGGACGCCGCCCGCCAGAGCGUCCACACCGCCGCUUUUUCUGCGGUUGCGUCCUGGGAAGGCGCGAAUUGUGUGGCUACGGGCGGGUCGUCCUCUCCACCAUUUUUUAAUGGAAAAAAUAAUAAUUCUCAAAGACGGUUUGGUCUGACCUGCCUCCCCACCUCUUGGCAUCCGCAGGAUCGCAGGCGUGUAAAAGACGGGAUUGUGGGACUGGGCCCAGUGACUCAUGCCUGUAAUCCCAGCGCUUUGCGGGGCCAAGGCCAGAGUAUCUCUUGAGCCCAGGUGUUCGAGACCAGCCUGGGCAACAUAGCGAGCCCCCAUCUCUAUUUUUAAAAAUGGUGUAUAGAUAUAGAGGAGAUCGUGGGAUUCAGUAUCUGAGAUUUUCUACCUUGGUGUCAACGCCCCUGUCAACCUAUUAGGUGACCUCAGAGUGUUCCCCCAGCCCUCAAUUCUAGGGAUCCCAGAUCCUGGAACACACACAUGCCCCGUCUGCCCCUUCGGGACAAGGAGAUCUAAUGGCACUCUCAGAAUUAGGCCUUAAAUGCUAAUUUCCUGGA